Molecule: long non-coding RNA, 371 nt
Filed under: Elaeis guineensis (African oil palm)
Lineage: Eukaryota; Viridiplantae; Streptophyta; Magnoliopsida; Arecales; Arecaceae
Description: long non-coding RNA (EGUI_LNC051552)
Source: RNAcentral
CUACACCUAAUACCCUAAAGCCAACUGAUUUGUGAGUCAUUGGCCUAAAGCUCACUACAGGAGUCAAUUAAAAAGUUUAAAGGACUAAGACAUUUCAUUAAACUCUUUUUUUUAAAAAAAUAAUAAAAAAAAAAUAAAAAAAUAGUGGAUAAUAAAGGGACUAAAUUGUAAGAAGAUAAUUGUUGGUGCAGAAUUUCGUCGAUGCUAGAGAAGAUGGAGUCGAGGGGAUCACGGCCGCCAUCGGGACCUGCAAGGAAAGUCUAAACCGGAGUUGGGGGUGCUCCGGCAAGAUCCUCCGAUGCUCAAGUCAGUACUUUGCUUCAACAGAAAUGGAGCACUCGAAUGAAAUUUUAGCAGAGUUUAGAGAUAAU